UGGGGAAUAUUGCACAAUGGGCGCAAGCCUGAUGCAGCCAUGCCGCGUGUAUGAAGAAGGCCUUCGGGUUGUAAAGUACUUUCAGUCGGGAGGAAGGUGGUAAGGUUAAUAACCUUAUCAAUUGACGUUACCGACAGAAGAAGCACCGGCUAACUCCGUGCCAGCAGCCGCGGUAAUACGGAGGGUGCAAGCGUUAAUCGGAAUUACUGGGCGUAAAGCGCACGCAGGCGGUUGAUUGAGUCAGAUGUGAAAUCCCCGGGCUUAACCCGGGAAUUGCAUCUGAUACUGGGCAGCUAGAGUCUUGUAGAGGGGGGUAGAAUUCCAUGUGUAGCGGUGAAAUGCGUAGAGAUGUGGAGGAAUACCGGUGGCGAAGGCGGCCCCCUGGACAAAGACUGACGCUCAGGUGCGAAAGCGUGGUGAGCAAACAGG
RNAcentral lists this ribosomal RNA (429 nucleotides) under Chloroflexota bacterium. RNAcentral describes it as "Chloroflexi bacterium partial 16S ribosomal RNA". It matches the Rfam family "Bacterial small subunit ribosomal RNA", at positions 355 to 776 of the family's 1533-position model. The record is from RNAcentral. Lineage: Bacteria; Bacillati; Chloroflexota.